GACGAACGCUGGCGGCGUGCUUAACACAUGCAAGUCGAACGAAGAGCGAUGGAAGCUUGCUUCUAUCAAUCUUAGUGGCGCACGGGUGAGUAACGCGUAAUCAACCUCCCCUUCAGAGGGGGACAACAGUGGGAAAGGACUGCUAAUACCGCAUACGAUCUAACCUCGGCAUCGAGGAUAGAUAAAAGGUGGCCCCUACAUGUAAGCAUUCACUGAAGGCGGGGUUUGCGUCUGAUUAGCUAGUUGGAGGGGUAACGGCCCACCAAGGCGAUGAUCAGUAGCCGGCCUGAGAGGAGGAACGGCCACAUUGGGACUGAGACACGGCCCAGACUCCUACGGGAGGCAGCAGUGGGGAAUCUUCCGCAAUGGACGAAAGUCUGACGGAGCAACGCCGCGUGAGUGAUGACGGCCGUCGGGUUGUAAAGCUCUGUUAAUCGGGACGAAAGGCCUUCUUGCGAAUAGUGAGAAGGAUUGACGGUACCGGAAGAGAAAGCCACGGCUAACUACGUG
RNAcentral lists this ribosomal RNA (510 nucleotides) under uncultured bacterium. RNAcentral describes it as "partial 16S ribosomal RNA". It matches the Rfam family "Bacterial small subunit ribosomal RNA", at positions 28 to 507 of the family's 1533-position model. The record is from RNAcentral.